This 2802-nucleotide ribosomal RNA is filed under the name Escherichia coli. Its description in RNAcentral is "partial 23S ribosomal RNA". It matches the Rfam family "Bacterial large subunit ribosomal RNA". Lineage: Bacteria; Pseudomonadati; Pseudomonadota; Gammaproteobacteria; Enterobacterales; Enterobacteriaceae. The record is from RNAcentral.
GGGUUGUGAGGUUAAGCGACUAAGCGUACACGGUGGAUGCCCUGGCAGUCAGAGGCGAUGAAGGACGUGCUAAUCUGCGAUAAGCGUCGGUAAGGUGAUAUGAACCGUUAUAACCGGCGAUUUCCGAAUGGGGAAACCCAGUGUGUUUCGACACACUAUCAUUAACUGAAUCCAUAGGUUAAUGAGGCGAACCGGGGGAACUGAAACAUCUAAGUACCCCGAGGAAAAGAAAUCAACCGAGAUUCCCCCAGUAGCGGCGAGCGAACGGGGAGCAGCCCAGAGCCUGAAUCAGUGUGUGUGUUAGUGGAAGCGUCUGGAAAGGCGCGCGAUACAGGGUGACAGCCCCGUACACAAAAAUGCACAUGCUGUGAGCUCGAUGAGUAGGGCGGGACACGUGGUAUCCUGUCUGAAUAUGGGGGGACCAUCCUCCAAGGCUAAAUACUCCUGACUGACCGAUAGUGAACCAGUACCGUGAGGGAAAGGCGAAAAGAACCCCGGCGAGGGGAGUGAAAAAGAACCUGAAACCGUGUACGUACAAGCAGUGGGAGCACGCUUAGGCGUGUGACUGCGUACCUUUUGUAUAAUGGGUCAGCGACUUAUAUUCUGUAGCAAGGUUAACCGAAUAGGGGAGCCGAAGGGAAACCGAGUCUUAACUGGGCGUUAAGUUGCAGGGUAUAGACCCGAAACCCGGUGAUCUAGCCAUGGGCAGGUUGAAGGUUGGGUAACACUAACUGGAGGACCGAACCGACUAAUGUUGAAAAAUUAGCGGAUGACUUGUGGCUGGGGGUGAAAGGCCAAUCAAACCGGGAGAUAGCUGGUUCUCCCCGAAAGCUAUUUAGGUAGCGCCUCGUGAAUUCAUCUCCGGGGGUAGAGCACUGUUUCGGCAAGGGGGUCAUCCCGACUUACCAACCCGAUGCAAACUGCGAAUACCGGAGAAUGUUAUCACGGGAGACACACGGCGGGUGCUAACGUCCGUCGUGAAGAGGGAAACAACCCAGACCGCCAGCUAAGGUCCCAAAGUCAUGGUUAAGUGGGAAACGAUGUGGGAAGGCCCAGACAGCCAGGAUGUUGGCUUAGAAGCAGCCAUCAUUUAAAGAAAGCGUAAUAGCUCACUGGUCGAGUCGGCCUGCGCGGAAGAUGUAACGGGGCUAAACCAUGCACCGAAGCUGCGGCAGCGACGCUGAUGCGUUGUUGGGUAGGGGAGCGUUCUGUAAGCCUGCGAAGGUGUGCUGUGAGGCAUGCUGGAGGUAUCAGAAGUGCGAAUGCUGACAUAAGUAACGAUAAAGCGGGUGAAAAGCCCGCUCGCCGGAAGACCAAGGGUUCCUGUCCAACGUUAAUCGGGGCAGGGUGAGUCGACCCCUAAGGCGAGGCCGAAAGGCGUAGUCGAUGGGAAACAGGUUAAUAUUCCUGUACUUGGUGUUACUGCGAAGGGGGGACGGAGAAGGCUAUGUUGGCCGGGCGACGGUUGUCCCGGUUUAAGCGUGUAGGCUGGUUUUCCAGGCAAAUCCGGAAAAUCAAGGCUGAGGCGUGAUGACGAGGCACUACGGUGCUGAAGCAACAAAUGCCCUGCUUCCAGGAAAAGCCUCUAAGCAUCAGGUAACAUCAAAUCGUACCCCAAACCGACACAGGUGGUCAGGUAGAGAAUACCAAGGCGCUUGAGAGAACUCGGGUGAAGGAACUAGGCAAAAUGGUGCCGUAACUUCGGGAGAAGGCACGCUGAUAUGUAGGUGAGGUCCCUCGCGGAUGGAGCUGAAAUCAGUCGAAGAUACCAGCUGGCUGCAACUGUUUAUUAAAAACACAGCACUGUGCAAACACGAAAGUGGACGUAUACGGUGUGACGCCUGCCCGGUGCCGGAAGGUUAAUUGAUGGGGUUAGCGCAAGCGAAGCUCUUGAUCGAAGCCCCGGUAAACGGCGGCCGUAACUAUAACGGUCCUAAGGUAGCGAAAUUCCUUGUCGGGUAAGUUCCGACCUGCACGAAUGGCGUAAUGAUGGCCAGGCUGUCUCCACCCGAGACUCAGUGAAAUUGAACUCGCUGUGAAGAUGCAGUGUACCCGCGGCAAGACGGAAAGACCCCGUGAACCUUUACUAUAGCUUGACACUGAACAUUGAGCCUUGAUGUGUAGGAUAGGUGGGAGGCUUAGAAGUGUGGACGCCAGUCUGCAUGGAGCCGACCUUGAAAUACCACCCUUUAAUGUUUGAUGUUCUAACGUUGACCCGUAAUCCGGGUUGCGGACAGUGUCUGGUGGGUAGUUUGACUGGGGCGGUCUCCUCCUAAAGAGUAACGGAGGAGCACGAAGGUUGGCUAAUCCUGGUCGGACAUCAGGAGGUUAGUGCAAUGGCAUAAGCCAGCUUGACUGCGAGCGUGACGGCGCGAGCAGGUGCGAAAGCAGGUCAUAGUGAUCCGGUGGUUCUGAAUGGAAGGGCCAUCGCUCAACGGAUAAAAGGUACUCCGGGGAUAACAGGCUGAUACCGCCCAAGAGUUCAUAUCGACGGCGGUGUUUGGCACCUCGAUGUCGGCUCAUCACAUCCUGGGGCUGAAGUAGGUCCCAAGGGUAUGGCUGUUCGCCAUUUAAAGUGGUACGCGAGCUGGGUUUAGAACGUCGUGAGACAGUUCGGUCCCUAUCUGCCGUGGGCGCUGGAGAACUGAGGGGGGCUGCUCCUAGUACGAGAGGACCGGAGUGGACGCAUCACUGGUGUUCGGGUUGUCAUGCCAAUGGCACUGCCCGGUAGCUAAAUGCGGAAGAGAUAAGUGCUGAAAGCAUCUAAGCACGAAACUUGCCCCGAGAUGAGUUCUCCCUGAC